UUAGGGCUCUUGGAAUUUGACUAGGGUUUUUUGCCAAUUCCAAAGCAUGAGAAGAUCCAUCCUCGACCGAUGAUGCUUGUGUCUGAUGAUAAUGUCCUUGGAAAUUACCGGCGCGGCACUGGAAUUUCUGCGAUUUCAGCUGGAAUGGAGCAGCAGCACAAGCUCGGCCCCAAUAUCGAGGAGGGAUUUCACAGCGGGAGAUCCGUGCAGACAUGGCAGUGCUUCCCCGAUGGCGGAUCUCUGUCCUCGAUCGACAGCUUGCCCCCAAUUGAGGACGAUGAAUCCGGGACGGACCAGGGAAUGAUUGGAUCCCCGGCCAUGGGACGCCUGGAUUACGACUCAGGCGGCCAGAAUCGAUCGAGAGAAGAGGCCUCGCCUUCACGCGUGAAGCUCAUGUGUAGCUUUGGUGGGCGAAUUCUUCCACGUCCAUCCGAUGGAAAGCUCCGGUACGUUGGUGGCGAGACGCGAAUUGUGAGCCUCAAGAGGGACGUGAGCUACGCGGAGCUCAUGCUCAAGAUGAAGAAGCACUACGGGGAGGAUCUGUCACUUAAGUACCAGUUGCCCAACGAGGAUCUGGACGCAUUGAUAUCGGUCUCUACCGACGAGGACUUGCAAAACAUGAUGGAGGAGUAUGACCGGCUCGAGGACAACGAUGGCUUGCAGCGGCUCAGGGUGUUUCUCUUCUCGGUUGCUGAUGGUGAGAGCCUCUCGAUCGAUCCUUUGGACCCGAGAAAGUCCGAGCAGUGGUACGUGGAGGCUGUCAACGGGUUGCUGGAAACGGGGUCGAGGAAAUCCGAGAGUGGGGUCAGUGGCGGUGGCAUUAGUGCUCGUCCCAGCGCUGAGAAUCUUGUUGCUUUAGACGCCACCCUCGAAGAGCAGUUACUCGCUAAGAAGCUACAGGGGGCCUUUAACUCGGCGUCGUCGUCGCCAGCUUUAGUCCCACAGCAGCCGUAUGCCAGGAAUCUUGGGGGUCAUGCUUACGGGAUGUUUGCAUCGGAAGGACAGCAGCAGCACUUUGGGAAUUUAAACACGGACGUAGGCCACUUCGACUUGGAUCACUACUAUCCAAAUCCUCGAGCGGAGGUGACGCAUGAUCAUGACCGGAUUCUACGUGGCUAUCCUCACGAGACGAAGAUGCCUCGGGUUGGCUCUCAUGGGAAGCUUUCAAGGCUUCAGGAGCAGCAACUUGAUGAUAGCCAGCAGCAGCACUUUGGGAACUUAAACACGGACGUAGGCCACUUCGACUUGGAUCACUACUAUCCAAAUUCUCGAGCGGAGGUGACGCAUGAUCAUGACCGGAUUCUACGUGGCUAUCCUCACGAGACGAAGAUGCCUCGGGUUGGCUCUCAUGGGAAGCUUUCAAGGCUUCAGGAGCAGCAACUUGAUGACAGCCAGCAGCAGCAGCAGCAGGACUUGCUACCUCACGACCUUUUUAUGGAGCCGAGGCCAAGGUUCGUCGUGCAGCCGCCGCAGCCACAUCGUCAACACCCUCUCGAUAGCAACCAGGAUUACAGGAGGCCAGAGUUUCAGCACUCCGACAGUGGAUUCCCACAUAUGCUUCAGCACCAACAAGCGCAGCCGGUGGUGUAUCUCAAGGAUCCCGUGUACAGAGCUGAAGCAUACCACCGCCACCAGCUUCCGGACGAUUAUCAAGGCCACGACUUUAUCCAGCACGAGGACUAUUGUCCUGGUCAUCUGUACCAGAGAAACUCUAAUCACGGAGAUGGUGGCGGGAUGGGAGCUCACUCAGCUCCAUAUCAGAUUGGAUCGUCGCCAUCUUCACCUCGACUAGCGUACCGUGAUGGCAGACUCCAUCCGCAGUUGAGUGUGCAUAGGCCGUAUCCUGGAAAUCCCGUCGACCAUCAAUAUGGAAGGAGGCCUCAUACACACGAAGAAUCCGGUCGGGGCUACAGGCUUUCAUCGUCGCCACCUCGCUAUCGUGAUCAUCACCUUGAUGAACCGUUGCCGUUUCUACAUCAUGAGCGGUUUCCAUCGGAUCAAGUGGCUAUGGCUCUUAUGUUCGACAAGAAGCAAGGACCAGAGAUGCUACCCAGGCAACCUAUGGGCCUAUACGGUCCAGGAUAUCAGGAAAAUUCUUUCUAUUAUCCGGACAAUGGUCAAAGAGGUGGCGAGCCAAGGCGCCAAGUUAAAACAUCUCCGCACUUGAAUCCCAGAUUUGAUUACCAAGACCAUCUGGUGCAAAUGGAGCAACUUUCGCUUCAUGGCCAUCAACCAGAGGUCGUCGACUGGCAAGAGAGAAACUUGGAAGCAGAAGACUCGGGGCUUAGGAAUCAAAAACCACUCAUCGAGCCUGAGCUCCGCCAAGCUGUUACGAACUCGCUGCCUUUUGUGGUGCACGGAAGUGGCAUUGGGCCCUCUAGUCAGGUUCCUCCAAAAUUUAUGGACUCCCAGCCAUUGAACCGGUCAUCGACGUCAGGGAUAAAUACUUCCGAGACAGGAUUUGGCAGCAGAUGGAUGACCGAAGACGAGACACCGGAUCUCCUCACUGAUACGGGCUCUAGCGCGAGAGUAAACAUCGCUAGGCCUUCCAGCAAUAAUAAUCUUACAGGUCUAGUCAGCCAGGUUGGUUCAGCAGCUCAGAGUCAGCAGGCAUCCGCAGCUUACAGUUGUGCUCCUUCUGUUAGUCUUCCCAUUUUCGAUACCAUAUCUCAGUGGAAUCGGAGCAUUGGGGCUGGGGACCUCGAAGCAAGUGCUGUGAAGAGUGAAAUUGAUGACGACGCAUCCCGCAAGCUUUCUCACAUGAUGUCGGAAACUGGUCAUCUGGCGGAAGACAUGGUUUCGUCAGUGUUGAGGUCCAACUACGAGUUUCCGGCAACGUCGUCAAAUUUUCCAGUUCAGAAGGAGAUUGAACCUGUCCAGGAAUUGGAUCUGGUGCCACAACCAACGUUGACUGUGCAGAACUGGGACAAAGUUCUUUGCCGUGACGAGGAGCCUAUUACCGAAAACGAGGCAUGUAGAGAGCAUACUAGCGUUGAAGCUCAUGAUAAGGCUGAAGCCAGCCAUGACUCUCCUCCUCCAGGUGAUAUCUCGUUAGCUGCGGAACAGGAAGCGAAAUCUCGUGGCUUGCAGAUAAUAAAAAACUCCGAUCUCGAGGAAAUCCGAGAGCUCGGAUCUGGAACAUAUGGUACAGUCUACCAUGGAAAGUGGAGGGGAACAGAUGUCGCGAUUAAGCGUAUAAAAGCGAGCUGUUUCGAAGGAAGGCCGGUGGAACGAGAUCGUCUGAUACUUGAUUUCUGGAGAGAGGCGGGCACGCUGAGUAAGCUCCACCAUCCGAAUGUUGUGGCUUUCUACGGCGUGGUUCCCGAUGGCCCUGGCGGAACGCUGGCAACCGUCACAGAGUAUAUGGUAAAUGGAUCGUUGAAGCAAGUGCUUCAGAAGAAAGACAGAACCAUUGAUCGUCGGAAGCGACUGUUGAUAGCAACAGACGCUGCUUUUGGGAUGGAGUAUCUACACGGAAAGAACAUCGUUCAUUUCGACCUGAAGUGCGAGAAUUUGCUGGUCAACAUGAGGGAUCCACAUCGGCCAGUGUGCAAGGUUGGAGAUCUGGGACUGUCGAAAGUUAAGCGCCAGACAAUGGUGUCUGGUGGCGUCCGAGGAACAUUGCCGUGGAUGGCUCCUGAGCUCUUGAGCACCUCGAGUUGUAUGGUCAGUGAGAGAGUGGAUGUUUUCUCAUUCGGGAUAGUUAUGUGGGAGCUUCUCACCGGAGAGGAGCCUUAUGCAAACAUGCACUACGGAGCGAUCAUAGGUGGCAUUGUUAGCAACACGCUUCGUCCACCGAUUCCAAAUUGGUGUGAGCCAGCGUGGAGGUCUCUGAUGGAACGCUGCUGGGACGCCGAUCCCUCGGCGAGGCCAUCGUUUGCCGAGAUUGCCAGCGAGCUCAGGUCGAUGAGUUCGUCGCUACAACCCCGAUCUUGACGAAGAACACGUAGGAAAAGAAAGAGAGCUGUUAAAGAAGCCGUGUGUUACAGUUUUAUUCAACUGUGACAGAGAAAAGAGCGACCACCGAUUCAUUUUUUGUUUUUUGUUUUUUAUUUUUGGAUAUGCCUUGUAUAUGCUAGCCUUUCUCUACGUCCAUUGGUUUGUAUAUAGAUGUAUAUAUAUUUCUAAUGCUCGCC
This is an RNA transcript of Selaginella moellendorffii, 4136 nucleotides long. RefSeq lists it as uncharacterized. The transcript is spliced from 12 exons. The record is from RefSeq and is a predicted model, not a curated record. Lineage: Eukaryota; Viridiplantae; Streptophyta; Lycopodiopsida; Selaginellales; Selaginellaceae.